AAUACAUUGACAUAGCUAUUUAGAACUGAACAGCUACCAGCUCCUCUCUAAUCGCUAUGUUGAACACCCUCUUAAUUGUUGUUAAUGUUAGUCUAUGAACAGCAAUUCAAAUUUCAGUAUUACAUUUUUUUCAGGAACAACAUGUUGCAAAUGUUAUUUUUGCUAUCAUAUAUUUACAGCAGCAGUUUUUGUACUUCUAGCACAAAAAGAAAUAAUUGAUUGCUGAUUCUAAUAUUUCUUGUAGUAUACCUAAUUAAAACUAUGUGAUACUCUGCUUUUACAUUCUUCUAGCAUGGCUGUAUGCUCACCAAUAAUUUAUCAUCAAGAUAAGAUUUAAUGAGCCUCUUUUUAUGAUCAGCGAAAAGAAAAAGGUAUAUUUAUAACAGAAGUUAUUCUCAAGUGGAAAUUUAGAAUAUAAAUGACUCAGUGAAGCUUAUAGUUAAUUCCAUCAGAGAAACUUCUUGUAUAUUUCGUCAUUCCAUAUAGCCUUCUAGUUCAGGUGAUGAUGCGUGCUAAGCUUGAUAAAGAACUUGAAAAGAGUAACACUCGUGGGAGAGGUGAUGUUCUCCGGAAAGUUGGCUGGGGUUUGAAGUUUAUCGGGCCGGAGAAGAAAUCUCUGAAUACAAAACCAUCACCUCUGGCUGCUUCUAAGUCCAAGUUAAGGCCUUCGUCGGAGGCAAGGCCGAGGAAGCGUGCGCUGCUUAUUGGAGUCAGCUACAAGAAGCAGAAACAUGAGCUUAAGGGAACUAUUAAUGAUGUAAAGAAAAUGAAGAAUUGGUUGAUUCAUAACUUUGAUUUCAAGCAAGAAAACAUUCUCAUUCUCACAGAAGAUGAACCCGAACCCGAACUAAUUCCAACGAAGAAGAACAUUCAGAAUUGCAUGAAAUGGUUCAUGGAGAGCUGCCAGGCUCAUGACUCCUUGGUGUUCUACUUCUCCGGGCACGGCUUGCGGCAGCCGGAUUUCGACGGCGAUGAGCUUGAUGGGUUCGAUGAAACAAUUUGCCCGGUUGAUUUUAUGGAAGCUGGCAUGAUAUUCGACAAUGAAAUUUUUCUUACUAUUGUUCAGCCACUUCCUAAGGAUGCCAAACUCCAUGCAAUUGUUGAUGCUUGUCAUAGCGGAAGUAUACUUGAUCUAUCAUUUGUGUAUAACAGAGAAAGGAAGAUUUGGGAAUAUAACGUCCCUCCAUCUGUUCCUAUUAAACAAACAAAUGGUGGAUUGGCUAUUACGAUCAGUGCUUGUCGAGAUGAUCAAGUAGCUGCAGAUACUGAUUGCAGACUCAACAAUGAGUGGCGCUCUGACGUAUACUUUAACAAGUAUUAUGAAGGAUAGGCAAGAAAUAACAUAUGGUGACCUACUUGACACCAUCUACAGAAGCAUUGAGGCGGCGGACCAACAAGGAUGCCUUGCCUACAGGGUCUUAAAAAGAAUGCUCAAUGCCAGAUUAUUACAGAAACCUCAACUUUUAUCUUCCGAACCGUUUGACGUUUAUCAGACAUAUUUUGUUUUGUAACGAGUUCAUGCAAAGGAAUUAUUUGGGGAAACGAAGAUAUCGGAAUUACAUCAUCAGCAUAGAGAAAAAAAAAAAAAAAGGUGAUCAUCUCUAACAGAUCAGUCUACAAUAAUUUCUCGAAGCACUGCGUUGCAUAGUUAAAUGUAAUGUAACAUAUAUGCUGAAGAUUAUACAAAGAUAAUUAUUUUCUAAGUGUACCCAAGGAACAAAUAAAUAGAUCAGAUUGUGUCCUAUUGGUAAUAAUUAAUAAGUAAAUUAAUAAAAUAAUUUUUAUAUUUUUAUA
This is an RNA transcript of Ricinus communis (castor bean), 1794 nucleotides long. It is a transcript of the gene named metacaspase-1, with no coding region annotated. Lineage: Eukaryota; Viridiplantae; Streptophyta; Magnoliopsida; Malpighiales; Euphorbiaceae. The record is from RefSeq and is a predicted model, not a curated record. The transcript is spliced from 5 exons.